RNAcentral lists this ribosomal RNA (478 nucleotides) under uncultured bacterium. RNAcentral's name for it is "partial 16S ribosomal RNA". It matches the Rfam family "Bacterial small subunit ribosomal RNA", at positions 28 to 523 of the family's 1533-position model. The record is from RNAcentral.
GACGAACGCUGGCGGCGUGCUUAACACAUGCAAGUCGAACGGUAAGGCCCUUCGGGGUACACGAGUGGCGAACGGGUGAGUAACACGUGGGUGAUCUGCCCUGCACUUCGGGAUAAGCCUGGGAAACUGGGUCUAAUACCGGAUAGGACUCCUGGCUUCAUGGUUGGGGGUGGAAAGCUUUUGCGGUGUGGGAUGGGCCCGCGGCCUAUCAGCUUGUUGGUGGGGUAAUGGCCUACCAAGGCGACGACGGGUAGCCGGCCUGGGAGGGUGGCCGGUGACACUGGGACUGGGAGACGGCCCAGACUCCUACGGGAGGCAGCAGUGGGGAAUAUUGCACAAUGGGCGCAAGCCUGAUGCAGCGACGCCGCGUGAGGGAUGACGGCCUUCGGGUUGUAAACCUCUUUCAGCACCGACGAAGCGCAAGUGACGGUAGGUGCAGAAGAAGGACCGGCCAACUACGUGCCAGCCGCCGCAGUAA